GAUGAUGAGGGUGCGGCUACUGAGGUUUGUUUCUGACAUGUUAAAUGCUAACUGUAACUAAUUGAUGUUGAUAUAGUCAUCUGGCCUUUUCCUUUUGUCUCACAGUUAGAAAUCUGUUUUACAUUUGUUUAAUAGUUUCUAGUUGCUUGGACUCUUUAUCAUUUAUGUUAGUUGUAUGUCUCAUCUGUUGCUUCCUUGAUGAUAUUUCAUGUGUCACUGAUGUUUGAUAUGAUGCCAGAAUGGUUGAGUUGUGUGUUGUAUUUCACACUUAAUGUUGUUUUCCUGUCUUGUAGCUCUCAUUCCAAAUGUGGACCA
Molecule: unclassified non-coding RNA, 315 nt
Filed under: Hevea brasiliensis (rubber tree)
Lineage: Eukaryota; Viridiplantae; Streptophyta; Magnoliopsida; Malpighiales; Euphorbiaceae
Source: RNAcentral